This 870-nucleotide ribosomal RNA is filed under the name Tricholoma fulvum. RNAcentral describes it as "eukaryotic LSU rRNA". It matches the Rfam family "Eukaryotic large subunit ribosomal RNA", at positions 79 to 934 of the family's 3401-position model. Lineage: Eukaryota; Fungi; Basidiomycota; Agaricomycetes; Agaricales; Tricholomataceae. The record is from RNAcentral.
CCUAGUAACUGCGAGUGAAGCGGGAAAAGCUCAAAUUUAAAAUCUGAGGGUCCUUGUGGCCUUCCGAGUUGUAAUCUAGAGAAGUGCUAUCCGCGCUGGACCGUGUACAAGUCUCCUGGAACGGAGCGUCAUAGAGGGUGAGAAUCCCGUCUUUGACACGGACUACCAGGGCUUUGUGAUGCGCUCUCAAAGAGUCGAGUUGUUUGGGAAUGCAGCUCUAAAUGGGUGGUAAAUUCCAUCUAAAGCUAAAUAUUGGCGAGAGACCGAUAGCGAACAAGUACCGUGAGGGAAAGAUGAAAAGAACUUUGGAAAGAGAGUUAAACAGUACGUGAAAUUGUUGAAAGGGAAACGCUUGAAGUCAGUCGCGUUGGCCAGGAAUCAACCUUGCUUUUGCUUGGCGUACUUUCUGGUUAACGGGUCAGCAUCAAUUUUGACCGRUGGAUAAAGGUUAGGGGAAUGUGGCAUCCUCGGAUGUGUUAUAGCCUCUGGUCGCAUACAUCGGUUGGGAUUGAGGAACUCAGCACGCCGCAAGGCCGGGUUUUAACCACGUACGUGCUUAGGAUGCUGGCAUAAUGGCUUUAAUCGACCCGUCUUGAAACACGGACCAAGGAGUCUAACAUGCACGCGAGUGUUUGGGUGGAAAACCCGAGCGCGUAAUGAAAGUGAAAAUUGAGAUCCCUGUCGCGGGGAGCAUCGAUGCCUGGACUUGAUCUUUUGUGACGGUUCCACGGUUGAGCGUGUAUGCUGGGACCCGAAAGAUGGUGAACUAUGCCUGAAUAGGGUGAAGCCAGAGGAAACUCUGGUGGAGGCUCGUAGCGAUUCUGACGUGCAAAUCGAUCGUCAAAUUUGGGUAUAGGGGCGAAAGACUAA